RNAcentral lists this ribosomal RNA (753 nucleotides) under uncultured Comamonadaceae bacterium. RNAcentral describes it as "bacterial SSU rRNA". It matches the Rfam family "Bacterial small subunit ribosomal RNA", at positions 28 to 776 of the family's 1533-position model. Lineage: Bacteria; Pseudomonadati; Pseudomonadota; Betaproteobacteria; Burkholderiales; Comamonadaceae. The record is from RNAcentral.
AUUGAACGCUGGCGGCAUGCCUUACACAUGCAAGUCGAACGGCAGCACGGGAGCAAUCCUGGUGGCAAGUGGCGAACGGGUGAGUAAUACAUCGGAACGUGCCCAAUCGUGGGGGAUAACGCAGCGAAAGCUGUGCUAAUACCGCAUACGAUCUACGGAUGAAAGCAGGGGAUCGCAAGACCUUGCGCGAAUGGAGCGGCCGAUGGCAGAUUAGGUAGUUGGUGAGGUAAAGGCUCACCAAGCCGUCGAUCUGUAGCUGGUCUGAGAGGACGACCAGCCACACUGGGACUGAGACACGGCCCAGACUCCUACGGGAGGCAGCAGUGGGGAAUUUUGGACAAUGGGCGAAAGCCUGAUCCAGCCAUGCCGCGUGCAGGAUGAAGGCCUUCGGGUUGUAAACUGCUUUUGUACGGAACGAAACGGCCUUUUCUAAUAAAGAGGGCUAAUGACGGUACCGUAAGAAUAAGCACCGGCUAACUACGUGCCAGCAGCCGCGGUAAUACGUAGGGUGCAAGCGUUAAUCGGAAUUACUGGGCGUAAAGCGUGCGCAGGCGGUUAUGUAAGACAGUUGUGAAAUCCCCGGGCUCAACCUGGGAACUGCAUCUGUGACUGCAUAGCUAGAGUACGGUAGAGGGGGAUGGAAUUCCGCGUGUAGCAGUGAAAUGCGUAGAUAUGCGGAGGAACACCGAUGGCGAAGGCAAUCCCCUGGACCUGUACUGACGCUCAUGCACGAAAGCGUGGGGAGCAAACAGG